Molecule: non-coding RNA, 118 nt
Organism: Triticum aestivum (bread wheat)
Lineage: Eukaryota; Viridiplantae; Streptophyta; Magnoliopsida; Poales; Poaceae
Source: Rfam
UUAAUACUCCCUCCGUCCGGAAAUACUACUUGUCAUUGAAAUGGAUGUAUCUAGAUGUAUUUUAGUUGUAGAUACAUUCAUUUUGCUGACAAGUAAUUCCGGACGGAGGGAGUAAGUG